This 247-nucleotide long non-coding RNA is filed under the name Carica papaya (papaya). Its description in RNAcentral is "long non-coding RNA (CPAP_LNC000861)". Lineage: Eukaryota; Viridiplantae; Streptophyta; Magnoliopsida; Brassicales; Caricaceae. The record is from RNAcentral.
CAUGUCUCAAUUCUCAAACCAAACCGUAGUCAAGUAAGACCGCAAUACAUGCAUUUAAACCAUAAAACAGAUAAAUCAGAUACUAUCAUACUUUUAGACUGUAAAAUAAAUCAACAGAGAACAGUUUCUGAUUCGGGCUCCACUAGAAUUCGUAAUUAAUUAUGCACAUCUAUUUAAUUUGUACAAAAUAUCGUAUUAUUACUUAUUUGAACUUCAAUUCUAUGAUAGGAAAUAGGGUGAGGGAUCC